RNAcentral lists this ribosomal RNA (969 nucleotides) under Triticum aestivum (bread wheat). RNAcentral describes it as "partial small subunit ribosomal RNA". The record is from RNAcentral. Lineage: Eukaryota; Viridiplantae; Streptophyta; Magnoliopsida; Poales; Poaceae.
AUGACAGAUGCAUGGACAGACAAAAGAGGAAGGGGAGUGAUGAAUUUGGUAGUUCACAGCGCCUAUGGUGUUGACUUUGUUGAUUCCGUUGACUGUUCAGAUGUGAGAAAAGAUGGCGAGAUGGUAUUUGAGCUUGUUUGAUGCAUAGAAGAAAUUGGUGAGAAGAAUGUAGUUCAAAUUGUAACAGAUAAUGCCUCUGUCAAUAUAUCAGCAGCAUCAAUGAUGAAAGUGAAGCGCCCAUCCCUAUUUUGGAAUGGUUGUACAGCCCACACAAUUGAUUUGAUGUUGGAGGACAUAGGCAAGCUGCCUAUAAUGGAUCAAACCAUUGCCAAAGGAAGGGCUCUGACUGUGUUCAUCUAUGCACAUACAAGAGUUUUGGCAUUGCUGAGGAAGUAUCUUGGAAAAGACUUGGUCUGUUCUGGUAUUACUAGGUUUGCCACAGCAUAUAUGAAAUUGAAGAGCAUGCAGGACAACAAAAAGGAGUUGCAGAAGUUGUUCAGGUCCGACGAACUCAAUGAGAUGGACCACCUAAAGAAGGCAAUGGGGAAGAUUGCAGCUAAAACUGUUCGCUCUGAAACUUUUUGGAAGGCAGUAGAUACCGCUGUUAAUUUCUUUGAGCCAAUGGCAAAUCUUUUGAGGAGGAUGGAUAGUCAUGUGCCGGCAAUGGGGUCUCUUCAUGGCUGUAUGUUGGAUGCAAAGAAAGAGAUCUCCGUGAGGUUUCACAAUGACAAGUCUCGAUUUCUAGAAGUGUGGGACAUCAUUGACAAGAGAUGGGACAACAAGUUGAAGACUCCAUUACAUAUGGCUGGAUACUACUUGAACCCAUACUACUAUUAUCCAAGGAAGCUUGAUAUUGAGAUUGAUGGUAGUUUCAAACAAGGACUAAUAACUUGUAUUUCAAAGAUGAUUGAAGAACCUAUCAUGCAAGAAGAAAUAAUCGAUGAGAUUGACCAUUCUCAAGAGGGAUAG